Molecule: long non-coding RNA, 665 nt
Filed under: Betta splendens (Siamese fighting fish)
Lineage: Eukaryota; Metazoa; Chordata; Actinopteri; Anabantiformes; Osphronemidae
Description: lncRNA (ENSBSLG00000004475.1)
Source: RNAcentral
UCUUGACAAUAUUUUGUCUGUACUACAGUACAUGUUUAGAGGACUAGUUGGUUGACAACAUGUGUUUUCUUUAACAUUUUAAUCUUUCUCCAGACCUGAUUGAAAACCUACUAUCAUAUCUUAACAUUUUACAGUGCCAGAAUACAAACUGAAGUCAGACAUGACAGCAGCUGCUGCUGGAGCCAGUGCUGCUCUGCUAGUCGUCAUACCUGCCAUCGUCUACAUCUGGAUCAGAAUGAAGAGGACCUUGGAUCGACCGUCCACAAGUGGAGAAGGUGACAUCACAGUGCAGCUGAAGAGGCAAAAUUUAAACUGAAGGGGAUGGUGGGUCAUUGCAAAUGAAAAUAUGUGUGUAGAAUAUAUCCACAUAUUUAUAAGUGUAGAAUUAGAUGUAAAUACAAUACACAGUUUGGUUUCAUUCAACACAUUAAACUUUCAACUGUUGUUUUACUCUUCAUCUUCAUGGUUCAUCAGAUGUUGAUGAGAGUCAGUGCUAAAAACACAACAUAUGCAUAAAAUGAAGAGGCCUCAAAGUUUGUCUCAGGCGCCUGCGUUUUAUUCUCGUGGAAUGUUUUGUUAACACUGAACAGUCAUCAAGGAUUUGUCACUGCUUCUAUAAAGAACAGCAUCUGUGCAUGUGCUCAAUAAAAUAAUUUAUAAUAUCA